GACGAACGCUGGCGGCGUGCCUAAUACAUGCAAGUAGAACGCACAGUUUAUACCGUAGCUUGCUACACCAUAGACUGUGAGUUGCGAACGGGUGAGUAACGCGUAGGUAACCUGCCUGGUAGCGGGGGAUAACUAUUGGAAACGAUAGCUAAUACCGCAUAAUAUUGAUUAUUGCAUGAUAAUUGAUUGAAAGAUGCUAUUGCAUCACUACCAGAUGGACCUGCGUUGUAUUAGCUAGUAGGUGAGGUAACGGCUCACCUAGGCGACGAUACAUAGCCGACCUGAGAAGGUGAUCGGCCACACUGGGACUGAGACACGGCCCAGACUCCUACGGGAGGCAGCAGUAGGGAAUCUUCGGCAAUGGACGAAAGUCUGACCGAGCAACGCCGCGUGAGUGAAGAAGGUUUUCGGAUCGUAAAGCUCUGUUGUAAGAGAAGAACGGGUGUGAGAGUGGAAAGUUCACACUGUGACGGUAUCUUACCAGAAAGGGACGGCUAACUACGUG
Molecule: ribosomal RNA, 505 nt
Filed under: uncultured bacterium
Lineage: Bacteria
Description: partial 16S ribosomal RNA
Rfam family: Bacterial small subunit ribosomal RNA
Source: RNAcentral